RNAcentral lists this ribosomal RNA (464 nucleotides) under uncultured bacterium. RNAcentral's name for it is "partial 16S ribosomal RNA". It matches the Rfam family "Bacterial small subunit ribosomal RNA", at positions 28 to 506 of the family's 1533-position model. The record is from RNAcentral.
GACGAACGCUGGCGGCGUGCUUAACACAUCCAAGUCGAACGGUAAGGCCCCUUCGGGGGUACACGAGUGGCGAACGGGUGAGUAACACGUGAGCAACCUGCCCUUGACUCUGGAAUAACAGUUGGAAACAGCUGCUAAUACUGGAUAUUCAUCGUCUCCUUCCUGGGGGGUGGUGGAAAGCUCCGGCGGUCAGGGAUGGGCUCGCGGCCUAUCAGCUUGUUGGUGAGGUAAUGGCUCACCAAGGCUUCGACGGGUAGCCGGCCUGAGAGGGCGACCGGCCACACUGGGACUGAGAUACGGCCCAGACUCCUACGGGAGGCAGCAGUGGGGAAUAUUGCACAAUGGGCGCAAGCCUGAUGCAGCAACGCCGCGUGCGGGAUGACGGCCUUCGGGUUGUAAACCGCUUUCAGUAGGGACGAAGGGUGACUGACGGUACCUACAGAAGAAGGACCGGCUAACUACGU